This 492-nucleotide ribosomal RNA is filed under the name uncultured bacterium. Its description in RNAcentral is "partial 16S ribosomal RNA". It matches the Rfam family "Bacterial small subunit ribosomal RNA", at positions 29 to 507 of the family's 1533-position model. The record is from RNAcentral.
AGUGAACGCUGGCGGUAGGCCUAACACAUGCAAGUCGAACGGCAGCACAGUAAGAGCUUGCUCUUACGGGUGGCGAGUGGCGGACGGGUGAGGAAUACAUCGGAAUCUACUUUUUCGUGGGGGAUAACGUAGGGAAACUUACGCUAAUACCGCAUACGACCUACGGGUGAAAGCAGGGGAUCUUCGGACCUUGCGCGAUUGAAUGAGCCGAUGUCGGAUUAGCUAGUUGGCGGGGUAAAGGCCCACCAAGGCGACGAUCCGUAGCUGGUCGGAGAGGAUGGUCGCCCACCUUGGAGCGGAGCCACGGUCCAUGGGCCUACGGUAGGCACCAGUGGGGAAUAUGGGACAAUGGGCGCAAACCUUGUCCAGCCAGCCCGCGUGGGUUAAGACGGCGUUCGGUUCGUAAAGCCGUUUUUUUGGGUAAAAACAGCAGCAGGUUAAUACCCCGCUGUUCUGACGGUACCCAAUGAAUAAGCACCGGCUAACUUCGUG